This 425-nucleotide ribosomal RNA is filed under the name uncultured bacterium. RNAcentral's name for it is "partial 16S ribosomal RNA". It matches the Rfam family "Bacterial small subunit ribosomal RNA", at positions 354 to 796 of the family's 1533-position model. The record is from RNAcentral.
GUGGGGAAUCUUGCGCAAUGGGCGAAAGCCUGACGCAGCCAUGCCGCGUGAAUGAUGAAGGUCUUAGGAUUGUAAAAUUCUUUCACCGGGGACGAUAAUGACGGUACCCGGAGAAGAAGCUCCGGCUAACUUCGUGCCAGCAGCCGCGGUAAUACGAAGGGGGCUAGCGUUGCUCGGAAUUACUGGGCGUAAAGGGCGCGUAGGCGGACAGCUUAGUCAGAGGUGAAAGCCCAGGGCUCAACCUUGGAAUUGCCUUUGAUACUGGCUGUCUUGAGUACGGGAGAGGUGAGUGGAACUCCGAGUGUAGAGGUGAAAUUCGUAGAUAUUCGGAAGAACACCAGUGGCGAAGGCGACUCACUGGCCCGUUACUGACGCUGAGGCGCGAAAGCGUGGGGAGCAAACAGGAUUAGAUACCCGUGUAGUCC